Molecule: ribosomal RNA, 1343 nt
Filed under: uncultured bacterium
Lineage: Bacteria
Description: 16S ribosomal RNA
Rfam family: Bacterial small subunit ribosomal RNA
Source: RNAcentral
GACGAACGCUGGCGGCGUGCUUAACACACGCAAGUCGAACGGAAAGGCCCUGCUUUUGUGGGGUGCUCGAGUGGCGAACGGGUGAGUAACACGUGAGUAACCCGCCCUUGACUUUGGGAUAACUUCAGGAAACUGGGGCUAAUACCGGAUAGGAGCUCCUGCUGCAUGGUGGGGGUUGGAAAGUUUCGGCGGUUGGGGAUGGACUCGCGGCUUAUCAGCUUGUUGGUGGGGUAGUGGCUUACCAAGGCUUUGACGGGUAGCCGGCCUGAGAGGGUGACCGGCCACAUUGGGACUGAGAUACGGCCCAGACCCCUACGGGAGGCAGCAGUGGGGAAUAUUGCACAAUGGGCGGAAGCCUGAUGCAGCAACGCCGCGUGCGGGAUGACGGCCUUCGGGUUGUAAACCGCUUUCGCCUGUGACGAAGCGUGAGUGACGGUAAUGGGUAAAGAAGCACCGGCUAACUACGUGCCAGCAGCCGCGGUGAUACGUAGGGUGCGAGCGUUGUCCGGAUUUAUUGGGCGUAAAGGGCUCGUAGGUGGUUGAUCGCGUCGGAAGUGUAAUCUUGGGGCUUAACCCUGAGCGUGCUUUCGAUACGGGUUGACUUGAGGAAGGUAGGGGAGAAUGGAAUUCCUGGUGGAGCGGUGGAAUGCGCAGAUAUCAGGAGGAACACCAGUGGCGAAGGCGGUUCUCUGGGCCUUUCCUGACGCUGAGGAGCGAAAGCGUGGGGAGCGAACAGGCUUAGAUACCCUGGUAGUCCACGCUGUAAACGGUGGGUACUAGGUGUGGGGUCCAUUCCACGGGUUCCGUGCCGUAGCUAACGCUUUAAGUACCCCGCCUGGGGAGUACGGCCGCAAGGCUAAAACUCAAAGGAAUUGACGGGGCCCCGCACAAGCGGCGGAGCAUGCGGAUUAAUUCGAUGCAACGCGUAGAACCUUACCCGGGUUUGACAUGGAUCGGGAGUGCUCAGAGAUGGGUGUGCCUCUUUUGGGGUCGGUUCACAGGUGGUGCAUGGCUGUCGUCAGCUCGUGUCGUGAGAUGUUGGGUUAAGUCCCGCAACGAGCGCAACCCUUGUUCACUGUUGCCAGCACGUUAUGGUGGGGACUCAGUGGAGACCGCCGGGGUCAACUCGGAGGAAGGUGGGGAUGACGUCAAGUCAUCAUGCCCCUUAUGUCCAGGGCUUCACGCAUGCUACAAUGGCUGGUACAGAGAGUGGCGAGCCUGUGAGGGUGAGCGAAUCUCGGAAAGCCGGUCUCAGUUCGGAUUGGGGUCUGCAACUCGACCUCAUGAAGUCGGAGUCGCUAGUAAUCGCAGAUCAGCAACGCUGCGGUGAAUACGUUCCCGGG